CUGUGUGUUAUCGUGGCAAUUCUGGAGGGUAACUCAUUCCAUUCUUUUAUUGAUAAGGUUAACGGCGAAUUCUUGUACUUUUCCGUCCGGGCGAAGAUAGGGUUAACUUUGUAGGCAUGAUCGAUGCGAUGUGAAGUAUGAGGUGGCUGUAAAAUGUGUGACCGGGCAAAUGAUGUGUUGCUGUGACACAGUGUGUGAAAAAAACAUAAUCUGGCGAAUUUUCUGCGCAUUGCGAUUGGCGGCAUGUUGAGUGUUUGCUUCAAAGAUGAAACGCUUUGAAAUCGGGAGUAGGAUGACAUGUGAAUCGCGCUGCUUUAUUCUGGACGGCUUCGAGUAGAUUGGUAAGGGCGAUCUGGUAGGGAUGCCAAAUGAAUGAUGCAUAUUCCAGGGUGGGACGCACGAAGAAAGUGUACGCUUGAAGCCUGGUGUCCCUGUCAGCCAGAUGCAAGCGUCGCUUCAGAAAGCCAAGUUUCUUUUGCGCUUUAGUUGUGAUAUAUUUUAUAUGGUCAGUUCAUGUAAAGCUAGAAUUUAUGUAGACACCGAGGUAUUUAACCGAUGUAACCGAGUGUACUAUGCUAUUGUUUAAUAUAUAAGUAUUAGUUUGAGACUUUGGAACGGAAGUGAAGUUCAGGUGAUUGGUCUUUUCUGUGUUAAUUUGCAUCUGCCAUUUGCAGCACCAUUCCGUUAGUUUAUUAAGGUCAGAUUGCAGUGUUUUAAUGUCGUUAGGGCUAGCCAUAUAUCUCUCUGUAAAUCACACAAUCAUCGGCAAAAAGGCGACUGUUGAAUUAAUAUUUAAUGCUAUGUCAUUAAUAUAUAUCAUGUAUCAUUUAGCGCUUCAUCUUGAAACAAGACCGGCGAGCGCACACUUUCUUGUACGGAAUUCUGCUGUACAAAAACAGAUGGACGCAUUGUGAGUGAAGAACAGAAACGAUGGAUGGUUAGGCUGCUUGACUCUCGGCAUGUUUGAAUAGGCAAAGUUCCGAAUUUGUCGCUGUGUGGUGUAUGUUUGUGCGCUCGUCAUGUGCCGUCAUAGCGUGGGUAUACUUGCGCGGAAUGUGUUUCACUCGGCUACAAAACUUUGCACGCUGCGGCAUCGAACAGGCACCAAUACGUGUGCAAACUACGGGAAGGUGAUCGAAGAUGAGUGAUAAAGCACUGUGUGUACUGUCAAAAGGAAAGAGAGAAAGAAAAAGAAAAAAAAAACGCCCUGUCCCGAGUUGGCAUAAUGAUUCAACCUUUAUUUCUUUUUUAACCCAACAUGUAACACCAUUCAUUACAUGAGCUUUAUCCAUGGGUAAAAGUAAUGGCACAACUCAUUAUUUUCCCGUUCAUUACUUGCACCAGCCAGUCCAAAUGAACACUAUACUAGAGCUUAUUGACGCAUCGCAUUACACUCUAGCACGGCAUUGCAACGCUCACUGGACUCUCGUCUGGUUGACUUCUCUGCUUUUCCUCUCCUUGCUUUCUCUAUCUCUUUGUAUACAAUGUACUACCUUGUGGCAGAGAAAACGAUCUCCUCUUCCAGAGUUCAAUUAUUUGUCAAGCAAUCAUUUUACUCUUCCAACAACUACUGCAUAAAUGGGAAAACGAAACCGAUUUUGUUUUGUUCUCCGCGCUCCCAGCACCAGGUGGAACCACACGCGGCGCUUCCGAUCUCGGAGGAUGUAACAAGACGAGCGGUUGACGGAGCUGCAUUGUGUAGUCAGCCGGCUUUUAUCGUUUUAGGUUGUACAGUUUGUUAGUUUACCGUAAAUAUGUCUUGAUUUAUACUCAAGAGUGGAGCAAGGCCCGAGGGAACAGAGACUGACGCAUCGUGAGCGAAGAACAGACGCGAUGGAUGGUUAGGCUGCUUGACUCUCGGCUGUACGACUCUCGGCAUGUUAGGACUGGCAAAGUUCCGAAUUUGUCGCGGUGUGGUGUACGCUUCUGUGCUCGUCAAGUGCCGUCCUAGCGCGGGGAUGUUUGAACGGAGUGUGUCCCUUCGUCUACAAAACUCUGCACGCUGCGGCAUCGAAGAAGUCCUGUGAACGGGUGCACGUAUGCGCUUGGAUACGGGAUAGCCUGCCCUCAACGGAUGUUCAACAGUGUACGCACGCUGCGCGUACGCGUACGUAUGAGACUAGUUGCUGGUGUCCUGCUGGAGCUGAGAAAUCUGCUGCCUGCCAUGAGGCCAUGUCUCUCAAGUUACCGCAAUAUUAUUGCCUUCAAACCUGUCGAGACAAGGUUUCUUUACAUGGCCAUGGCCCUCAAGGAAGAAACCGAGACUGCAGACUGCCAACGUUCAUUCCUGUUUUGGCAAAGACGGGCCAGCAGUAACCAGCUGGGUUUUACAAAGUGAACUCAUCACAGCUUGAGCCACUCCAUGCCACAAGCAGUUGCUCGUCGAGCCACCGUGCAAAGGUUCCUUGGGGCUCAAGUCCAACUCAGCGCCACCACCUCUCUUCUGCAGUUUUUCUACCUACUUAGCUAACCAGCAGCAAGUUUAUCCUUGCAAGGCAUGUGGGAACAGCUUUCACCAGGAAACAGUGCAAGACGAGUGCUCGAAGAAAAUAAAAUUGCUUCUGUGAUCUAAAGUACUUGACGAAUAAAAUUUUGCACUUAUUUGUAUAUAUGUUGUGCAAUUCAUUCAUAUCACAAAAGGCAAAGUGUUUGAUCUUUUGAGCUAUUUCAAUGUGUUGGCUAGACAGUUUUCUCCAUAGCGACCUGCUGCUUCUGCGAUGAGCUGUAUUCAUGACAUUUGCAUUAAAGGAUGUACUAUCGGGGACAAAAGUGCCCAGGACGUGCGAGUGUCGACCAAAUUGCAUCUCUGCACUAUCAGCCGCUAUCAUCUGCAUUGCAGACCACUUUCCGAAUGCAAAUGUUAGCAUGGCUGAUCCCAGCAGAAAGUGCACCAAUAAAAUUCGGUCGACAUUCGCACAUUUUGGGCACUUCUGUCCCCGAUAGUACAUUCUCUAAACAAUCAAUAUGCUCUGUAAAACGUAAUACAGAAAACACCUGUAUUUUAACGAUUGGACCGUAUAGUACAGAUUUUGCAUACGGAGCCUUUUUAUUUCUGAGUACGGAAACACCUGUAUGUUAACGGUUGGACCGUAUAGUACAGAUUCAGCAUACAGAGUCUUUCGUUUUCUGGAUACGGAAACACCUGUAUUUUAACGGUUGGACCGUAUACUACAGAUUCAACAUACAGCGCCUUCCGUUUUCUGAAUACGGAAAG
This is a long non-coding RNA of Dermacentor silvarum, 3214 nucleotides long. RefSeq lists it as uncharacterized. The record is from RefSeq and is a predicted model, not a curated record. Lineage: Eukaryota; Metazoa; Arthropoda; Arachnida; Ixodida; Ixodidae. The transcript is spliced from 4 exons.